UACGUAGGGGGCAAGCGUUGUCCGGAUUUAUUGGGCGUAAAGAGCUCGUAGGCGGCUUGUCGCGUCGACUGUGAAAUCCCGCGGCUCAACUGCGGGUCUGCAGUCGAUACGGGCAGGCUAGAGUUCGGUAGGGGAGACUGGAAUUCCUGGUGUAGCGGUGAAAUGCGCAGAUAUCAGGAGGAACACCAAUGGCGAAGGCAGCUCGCUGGAACGGAACUGACGCUGAGGCGCGAAAGCGUGGGGAGCGAACAGG
RNAcentral lists this ribosomal RNA (253 nucleotides) under uncultured bacterium. Its description in RNAcentral is "partial 16S ribosomal RNA". It matches the Rfam family "Bacterial small subunit ribosomal RNA", at positions 524 to 776 of the family's 1533-position model. The record is from RNAcentral.